Molecule: long non-coding RNA, 1227 nt
Organism: Mus pahari (shrew mouse)
Lineage: Eukaryota; Metazoa; Chordata; Mammalia; Rodentia; Muridae
Exons: 4
Source: RefSeq, a predicted model, not a curated record
UGUUUUAAAGGUCUAAGUGUGCCCUCCUCCAGACAUCCGGCUCUAAUGAGCUACACAGUGCCUGGCCGUGCCCGAGAUAAGUUCCGGAGGCAAGAGAAAGACGGGAGAUUUAAUCAAGAGACAUGUGAUGUUCAAUUGAGCCCCAAAUUGCUUUUUUGAACACAGCAGCAAAUAAAACGCAGAAAGGGAAGGGUUGGACUUCUCUGCAAGCAGGUCAUUUCCGGACAAGAAUCUGAUCAUGGGAGAUCCUUUGAAGGGCCGGAAGCUCUCUGACUCACUUUCCAAUCUGGCUGCAGCCAGUGCGAAUAUCCACAUUUAUCUGCUACUCCCGGGGUAUCAGAGAGAGCAUCUUGAAAGGGGAUCAUUUUCAAAGCACCCCUGCUACCCUUUAGAAACGCUCGACUUUCUCCAGACGAACGGCUCCCAGGGAAGCAUCUACGACUGCUGCCAAUUGCUCUGCCCCCUGCCUGGAGUGGAGACUUUAAUGUGGCCAGUACAUGCAUCAGAUGAUCUGUAUAAGGGAGGAUUCAAUACAGAGAGAUCUGACUGUACGUAGAUGAAGCUUCUGCAGAUGCCGGCCAUGUAGGGUCUGAACGUCACUCUGAGUGGGAAGGACCCAGAGGGUGAAGCUUGUGCUCUCUGCAGCCCGCCAUGGGCACACGGCUUUGGGAGUAUCUCACUGCUCCACGGACUCAUCUCUGAAGAAGCAACAUUGUCACAUAUGGGCAGUUGGUUGGAAAAGAUGUCCCAGCCUCCAGCCCCAGCUGACUGCAUCUGAACCUGCGGUCUAACAAGGUCCCUGGGGGAUUCUUCUCUGCACUUCAAACUUGGACGAGUGCUGCCUUAGACUCUGGCUCAAUUUAGCAAACUUCAGAAGCACCUGCAGAGCUCGUUAGGGAACGCUGGCGGAGCUCCAUUCUCAGAAUGCUCGGCUCACCUGGUGUGGAUGGCGUCCAAGAAUCCGUAUUUCUAACAAGUCCCCAGGUGACCCUGGUGCAGGUCCCAGGAGGACCCGCAGUCACAAGGGCUGCCUUAGACUGGGUCUCUGACUCAAGACAGGCAGCACAGCCACUGGAAGUUCUAGAAUGCCUGACCCCCCCGGGGACUUGCUUGCCCCUGCAUUUGGAGGCUGGAACCUACCCAUUUUCUCUAACUGAAUUUUGAUAGGUUCAUUAAAGUAUCACAUUUUUGUUUUUUUAUAAGAAGAAACAGGUGUUGGCUGGUAGC